RNAcentral lists this ribosomal RNA (151 nucleotides) under Leucochloridiomorpha lutea. RNAcentral's name for it is "partial 28S ribosomal RNA". The record is from RNAcentral. Lineage: Eukaryota; Metazoa; Platyhelminthes; Trematoda; Strigeidida; Leucochloridiomorphidae.
UCCAUGCUACUUUGAUCUCAUCAUAUCACAAUACAUAUGACAAUUUACUCUGAACCCUGACCAUCGGGAUCAUGACGUGACUACCUGCAGCUGGAGCUAAUGCAUAUACGACUAGAGAGCAGAGAAAGAAAAUUUUGUGAUACUCACUGUC